Molecule: transfer RNA, 72 nt
Filed under: Urocitellus parryii (Arctic ground squirrel)
Lineage: Eukaryota; Metazoa; Chordata; Mammalia; Rodentia; Sciuridae
Also listed under: 1 other name
Description: Spermophilus parryii (Arctic ground squirrel) tRNA
Rfam family: tRNA
About the family: Transfer RNA (tRNA) molecules are approximately 80 nucleotides in length. Their secondary structure includes four short double-helical elements and three loops (D, anti-codon, and T loops). Further hydrogen bonds mediate the characteristic L-shaped molecular structure. tRNAs have two regions of fundamental functional importance: the anti-codon, which is responsible for specific mRNA codon recognition, and the 3' end, to which the tRNAs corresponding amino acid is attached (by aminoacyl-tRNA synthetases). tRNAs cope with the degeneracy of the genetic code in two manners: having more than one tRNA (with a specific anti-codon) for a particular amino acid; and 'wobble' base-pairing, i.e. permitting non-standard base-pairing at the 3rd anti-codon position.
Source: Rfam by way of RNAcentral
GGGGAUGUAGCUCAGUGGUAGAGUGCUUGUCUAGCAUGCACAGGGCCCUGGGUUUUAUCCCCAGCACCCCCU